This 777-nucleotide ribosomal RNA is filed under the name uncultured Rubrobacter sp. RNAcentral's name for it is "bacterial SSU rRNA". It matches the Rfam family "Bacterial small subunit ribosomal RNA", at positions 8 to 796 of the family's 1533-position model. The record is from RNAcentral. Lineage: Bacteria; Bacillati; Actinomycetota; Rubrobacteria; Rubrobacterales; Rubrobacteraceae.
AGAGUUUGAUCAUGGCUCAGGACGAACGCUGACGGUGUGCUUUAGACAUGCAAGUCGAACGAGAAAGCCCUUCGGGGUUAGUACAGUGGCGAACGGGUGAGUAACACGUGGGCAAUCUGCCCCUCGCAGGGGGACAACCGGGGGAAACCCCGGCUAAUACCCCGUACGCUUGCGGAGUCGCAUGGCUCCGUAAGGAAAGGUAGCUUCGGCCAUCCGGCGAGGGAUGAGCCCGCGGUACAUUAGCUAGUUGGUGGGGUAACGGCCCACCAAGCCGGUGACGGGUCGCUGGUCUGUGAGGACGAUCAGCCAGACUGGGACUGCGAAACGGCCCAGACACCUACGGGUGGCAGCAGCGAGGAAUCUUCCACAAUGGGCGCAAGCCCGAUGGAGCAACGCCGCGUGGAGGACGACGGCCUUCGGGUUGUAAACUCCUUUCGGGGGGGAGGAAACGGACAGUACCCCCAGAAGCAGCCCCGGCUAACUCUGUGCCAGCAGCCGCGGUAAUACAGAGGGGGCAAGCGUUGUCCGGAAUUACUGGGCGUACAGCGUGCGCAGGCGGCCGUGUAUGUGCCGAGUGACAAGUCCGCGCUUAACGCGGAAGGGUCUCGGUAGACAGCAGGGCUGGAGGCCUUGAGAGGGAAGUGGAAUGCCCGGUGGAGCGGUGAAAUGCGUAGAGAUCGGGCGGAACACCAGGGGCGCAGGCGGCUUCCUGGCAAGGACCUGACGCUGAGGCACGAAAGCGUGGGGAGCGAACGGGAUUAGAUACCCCUGUAGUCC